AAAUUGAAGAGUUUGAUCAUGGCUCAGAUUGAACGCUGGCGGCAGGCCUAACACAUGCAAGUCGAACGGUAACAGGAAGCAGCUUGCUGCUUCGCUGACGAGUGGCGGACGGGUGAGUAAUGUCUGGGAAACUGCCUGAUGGAGGGGGAUAACUACUGGAAACGGUAGCUAAUACCGCAUAACGUCGCAAGACCAAAGAGGGGGACCUUAGGGCCUCUUGCCAUCGGAUGUGCCCAGAUGGGAUUAGCUAGUAGGUGGGGUAACGGCUCACCUAGGCGACGAUCCCUAGCUGGUCUGAGAGGAUGACCAGCCACACUGGAACUGAGACACGGUCCAGACUCCUACGGGAGGCAGCAGUGGGGAAUAUUGCACAAUGGGCGCAAGCCUGAUGCAGCCAUGCCGCGUGUAUGAAGAAGGCCUUCGGGUUGUAAAGUACUUUCAGCGGGGAGGAAGGGAGUAAAGUUAAUACCUUU
This 473-nucleotide ribosomal RNA is filed under the name Escherichia coli. RNAcentral describes it as "bacterial SSU rRNA". It matches the Rfam family "Bacterial small subunit ribosomal RNA", at positions 1 to 470 of the family's 1533-position model. Lineage: Bacteria; Pseudomonadati; Pseudomonadota; Gammaproteobacteria; Enterobacterales; Enterobacteriaceae. The record is from RNAcentral.